CUCACAGCAAGGUUUGGACGAAUAACAGUUCUUUAUUAGCAAAAUAUGACUUCUUAUAAAAACAUACAAUUACAGAUAAAAAAAAGUUUAUUCAUAUUUGAAUGUAAAAAGCAAAAAUACAACUUGAAUUCCAGAGAAGUAGGAACAGUCUGUUAAUUUGAACAAAAUGAAAACUAAGACUUUCAAAAAGCAUGAGCCAAUAUUUCAUUCACAACAGAACAUGAAUAACACUCUGUGUUGGACACUUUUGUUUAUGUAAGAUUGUAUUAUAUUGCAAUGUGUUGUAUAUAAGAUUGUUGUAUUUCUAUCUUUUUAUCUUGAGGGCUGCAAUUUGAAAUUCCUGUGUAUGCUCUGUGCAUAUGGUUUUUGACAACAAAGCUGACUUUGAUAACAUAAUAAAAGUUUAAACUGAGAUUUUACUUUCAGGCACUAAAUGAGCUCAUUUCAAAUUAGAUGCUUGCUCCAGGUCUCAGAGUAGUUGAAACAGGGGCCUGUUUACCAAGGUGUAGCAUCUCCUCAUCUUUUCAAACCAGUGUGAAGACGUCUGAGCAUUGAAGUUAUGACUUUCUGGAGUUUUGGUUUGGAAAUUCAUGUCCAAUUCUUGCCUGAUAUAGGUUUUCAUCUGCCGAAGAGUUUGUGCAUUUAAUUAAUUAUGCGUCUGUAAUGUUCUCUAUAGGUGAAAGACUGGCAAAUACAAACGGCCUUCCCUGAACUAGACAUCAUCUGAAGGGUAGCAUAUGUUGCUCUAAAACCUUUAUAGCACUUUUAGCAUUCAUAGUUCUUUCCAAACAUAUAAGCUGCCCAUAAUGUAUUUACUCAUGCUCCUCCAUAUCAUCAAAGAUGCUGGGCUCAUUUCGUGCAUUAAAUUGUAAAACUUCUCAGUUUUAACAUUUCUUAUGUUAAUUACGUUCUGUUUUUAAUAAGUUAUUGGCUCAUAUCAAGUGUUGUUCAAAUUUAUGAAACGUCACAACUUUUCUGGAAUUCAAGUUGUAUAAAGAACAACAAAUUGGAGGCUGAGAGGAACGGAAAACCUAAUAUAAAAAAUAAAAAUCUAUAAAAAACUAAUAUAAUAUUAGGAUAAUGAUUUUGUAUUAUACAGUGAAUUCAUUAAUUGAUUUACAAAGUUCCUUCUUAGCGUAAACAAAUCCUAUGGAAACUGAAGAUGAACAAACAAUGUAGUUCACAGAGUCUCUGACAGACAGCACAGAGACUAACACAGUCUGAACAGGUUUGAUGAUAGUCAGAGAAAUUUGACAUCAAAGCAACUCUGACCCAUGAAUUGAUGAUGAACAUUGAAUGCGUCCAGAGUUCAGAUGGAAAAAGUUCUGAGAGGUUUCAAAGCUUUUGUAGUUCAGCAGGAGGCUGGUACGGAUCCUGUCUCUGAUAUUCUCUAAAAUGCAAAAGUAACAGCAACAACAAAAAGCAGACCUAAAACUAGCACACCGCCUUUCAGUCCAACAGAUCUUCCUCGCUGACCUGCAGGUGAGAAACAGGUGUGAGGUGUCAGCUGUCAGGUAGGUGAUGAGUGAAGAACAGAACAGAAUCCAUUUCCUCUUCAAACUGCUGUCAGACAUUAUCUACUGCACUCUGAUCACAUCACUCAGACCAGCUGCUUUCUACAAAGUCUCAUCAAC
Oreochromis aureus is the source of this 1634-nucleotide long non-coding RNA. The record is from Ensembl. NCBI's taxonomy places the organism in Eukaryota, Metazoa, Chordata, Actinopteri, Cichliformes, Cichlidae.